RNAcentral lists this ribosomal RNA (447 nucleotides) under uncultured organism. RNAcentral describes it as "partial 16S ribosomal RNA". It matches the Rfam family "Bacterial small subunit ribosomal RNA", at positions 332 to 796 of the family's 1533-position model. The record is from RNAcentral.
UACACUCCUACGGGAGGCAGCAGUGGGGAAUAUUGGACAAUGGGCGCAAGCCUGAUCCAGCCAUGCCGCGUGAGUGAUGAAGGCCCUAGGGUUGUAAAGCUCUUUCACCGGUGAAGAUAAUGACGGUAACCGGAGAAGAAGCCCCGGCUAACUUCGUGCCAGCAGCCGCGGUAAUACGAAGGGGGCUAGCGUUGUUCGGAUUUACUGGGCGUAAAGCGCACGUAGGCGGACUAUUAAGUCAGGGGUGAAAUCCCGGGGCUCAACCCCGGAACUGCCUUUGAUACUGGUAGUCUUGAGUUCGAGAGAGGUGAGUGGAAUUCCGAGUGUAGAGGUGAAAUUCGUAGAUAUUCGGAGGAACACCAGUGGCGAAGGCGGCUCACUGGCUCGAUACUGACGCUGAGGUGCGAAAGCGUGGGGAGCAAACAGGAUUAGAAACCCCGGUAGUCC